Molecule: ribosomal RNA, 468 nt
Filed under: uncultured bacterium
Lineage: Bacteria
Description: partial 16S ribosomal RNA
Rfam family: Bacterial small subunit ribosomal RNA
Source: RNAcentral
GACGAACGCUGGCGGCGUGCUUAACACAUGCAAGUCGAACGGAAAGGCCCUGCUUUUGUGGGGUGCUCGAGUGGCGAACGGGUGAGUAACACGUGAGUAACCUGCCCUUGACUUUGGGAUAACUUCAGGAAACUGGGGCUAAUACCGGAUAGGAGCUCCUGCUGCAUGGUGGGGGUUGGAGAGUUUCGGCGGUUGGGGAUGGACUCGCGGCUUAUCAGCUUGUUGGUGGGGUAGUGGCUUACCAAGGCUUUGACGGGUAGCCGGCCUGAGAGGGUGACCGGCCACAUUGGGACUGAGGUACGGCCCAGACUCCUACGGGAGGCAGCGGUGGGGAAUAUUGCACAAUGGGCGGAAGCCUGAUGCAGCAACGCCGCGGGCGGGAUGACGGCCUUCGGGUUGUAAACCGCUUUCGCCUGUGACGAAGCGUGAGUGACGGUAAUGGGUAAAGAAGCACCGGCUAACUACGUG